Molecule: ribosomal RNA, 465 nt
Filed under: Vreelandella stevensii
Lineage: Bacteria; Pseudomonadati; Pseudomonadota; Gammaproteobacteria; Oceanospirillales; Halomonadaceae
Description: partial 16S ribosomal RNA
Rfam family: Bacterial small subunit ribosomal RNA
Source: RNAcentral
CCUACGGGCGGCUGCAGUGGGGAAUAUUGGACAAUGGGCGAAAGCCUGAUCCAGCCAUGCCGCGUGUGUGAAGAAGGCCUUCGGGUUGUAAAGCACUUUCAGUGGGGAAGAAAGCCUUGGGGCUAAUACCCUCGAGGAAGGACAUCACCCACAGAAGAAGCACCGGCUAACUCCGUGCCAGCAGCCGCGGUAAUACGGAGGGUGCGAGCGUUAAUCGGAAUUACUGGGCGUAAAGCGCGCGUAGGCGGUCUGAUAAGCCGGUUGUGAAAGCCCCGGGCUCAACCUGGGAACGGCAUCCGGAACUGUCAGGCUAGAGUGCAGGAGAGGAAGGUAGAAUUCCCGGUGUAGCGGUGAAAUGCGUAGAGAUCGGGAGGAAUACCAGUGGCGAAGGCGGUCUUCUGGACUGACACUGACGCUGAGGUGCGAAAGCGUGGGUAGCAAACAGGAUUAGAUACCCCAGUAGUC